GCUUGGGUGGCUCAGUUGGUUAGAGCGCAGGUCUCAUACGUUUGUAUGAGGGUUUAACUUCAAACCCGUAAUCCUGAUCCUGAGGUCAUGAGUUCGAUCCUCAUCCCGAGCA
Non-coding RNA from Postia placenta MAD-698-R-SB12, 112 nucleotides. The record is from the annotation of a RefSeq genome assembly. Lineage: Eukaryota; Fungi; Basidiomycota; Agaricomycetes; Polyporales; Adustoporiaceae.